Molecule: long non-coding RNA, 1301 nt
Organism: Phyllostomus hastatus (greater spear-nosed bat)
Lineage: Eukaryota; Metazoa; Chordata; Mammalia; Chiroptera; Phyllostomidae
Exons: 4
Source: RefSeq, a predicted model, not a curated record
AGCAAGCAAGGGGCUAAGAGGAGGGGGGUCCGGUGCCGGCCAUUUGAAAACGCCCCGGUGGCAGUGAGGGGCACCAGAGUCCCAGUCUAGUUAGUUGGGAAGCAGUGACAUCCCCCCAGAAUCCCCCAGGUGGGCUGGCCCCCAUCUCAGGCCACAAGGAGCCUCACCUGGACCAGACACAGGAGAGGAAAGGACACGACACGGUCCGGCAGGCGCCAUCCCUACUGCCCUGAUGGUGAAGGAGCAAGUGCCCCAGCAGGGGCCUCCCAAGGCCCAGAGGAGGGCAGGCCACGGGGCCUGGAAGUGCAGCUCCUCCCUGGAGCUUCCCGACAGAAGACAGAGGUUCCCCCAGGCUGGGCGACGUUUCCUGAAGACUGUGGGGAGCAGAGAGGAGGAAAGGGCUCAUCCUCUGGGAGCGGCCCCCCAGCCUGCCCACAGCUGACACCAGAAGGCCAAGAGGCGCAUCCCCGAGGAAGCGGCCGUUGAGCAGACACCAAACCCAUGAAGAGGAGACCGGCAGGGGAGCAGCGCAGCCCCCGGGAGCCAGAGGCGGCGGGUGUGGCCUCCCUGGAGGAGUGUCCGAGAGGAAGAGGCCAGCAGUGGCCAAAUGGGGCAGGUGCUGAGGCCUUUGGUGAGGGUUUCAGAAUCCAGCCCGAGGGCAGCGGGAGCCCUUUCAGGAAUUAAGGAGGGGAGCCACAGGACCCUAUUGGCAUGUUGAGAAAUCACUCUGGGAGGGUGUCAGGGAAGGAUGGGUGGGAAAUCUGGUGUUCGGGGUAGUAGAGGCAGGGAGACACGGUAGGAGGCCACGGCAGAUAUUCGAUUGUAUAAAAUAUCAAAUUCCAUGACGGUGCUGUUUGGCUGGGAGACACAGAGCAGGGGGAGGGGAGUGGCGUCAGCCUGUUGGAAGACUCCAUUUACUGAAAUGUGCAGAACUGGCCGCUCUGGAGACAGGAUGCGGCCGGCCCAGGGCUGGGGCUGACGGGACGGGAGGGGUGACGCGGUGGCAGGUCUCUCUUUGGAGGGAGGAAAUAUCUUAAAAUUGACGGUGGCGAUGGUGGCUCAACCCUGUGAAUGUAUUAAAAUCCCAUUUCAUUGUGCACUCUAAAGGGAUGAGGGGACCUUCUUGCCACAAAGCUCUUUGAAAAAUAAAAUGAAAGGGGAGUCGAGGCUUGGUCCCAGAGGGCUCCAAUGCCUGGUGGAGGGUGGGGCACACAGGCGGGGCAGGCGGUGGAGCCCAGGCCCCUCCCCUGCCCCUCUCCCGUGGAGGCCGGACUCCCUGCUGCCGCGGCCAGGCACCCUGU